GACACAUCCAGCUCUAUCUCAGAACAUGCAAACUCCAUAUACACACACACAGGGAGGGAAUCGAACCCCGACCCUCGAGCUGUGAGGCAACCGUGCUAACCACUAAACCGUGCUAACCACUAAGCCACCGAACAAAUCGAAAGUGAAGCUAUCUGUCGGUUGCCUACGGAAAGUCCCGACAUCGACGCGCCUGUAUGCCAGUCUUACAUGAAAAGGUCUCCAUUUAUUCUUGAAGAACAUACCUUUAAGAAAACACACCACAGACCCCUGAAAAUGAGUUCCCCUAAUGAUGAUGAAGAUAAAGAUGAGAGAUAUCAGGAAGAAAGUUCCAGAUCACCUGAUCCCAGCGUCGUGUCUAUGAAGAAUGACAAGUCAAUAGAUUUUCCAAUAACGUUUCAAG
Ictalurus punctatus (channel catfish) is the source of this 400-nucleotide long non-coding RNA. The record is from Ensembl. NCBI's taxonomy places the organism in Eukaryota, Metazoa, Chordata, Actinopteri, Siluriformes, Ictaluridae.